UUAAAUAAUGGCACAAGUGGUGGUUCUUGAUUCUAUCAAUGAAGAUAUAUUUGUUUGUGGUAAUUGUAAAUUAGUGUUUAAUUCUCUUAAAAUUUUCUUAGACCAUAAAAAGUGGAAAUGUGGCGUUGAUUUAUCUAGAACAAAUGAGCCUGCUGUAAAUGAAAGUUCAUGUGAAAAUACUGUAACAACAUUAUCACAUCUGUCGGUCUCUCAAAACCUUGGAAUACCUUCAGGAAUAGGUUCCAAUGAAUGCAAGUUGUGUAAAAAAUCAUUUAAAAAGAUUAAGUCAUUAGUGGCCCAUCUGAAGACUCACAGCGAUAGACCGUAUCAGUGCCCUAUCUGUGGCCGCUGUUUUGUCCAAAAUUCCCAUUUACAAAGGCACAUAGCCUCCCACAAGAUUUGGCCUGAUGGUCUAACUGAGACAACUCCAAAAUCAGCAGAAGCUGAACUCUUAAGCUACUCUUGUGCGUAUUGUGAUAUAAUAUUACCAAAUUACAGUCAGUUCAGACUCCACUUAAAAAAGCAUCUAUGUAAUAAAAAGUUUAAAUGUAUUCAGAGUAAUUGCAGCGGCUUGUUUGCAAACAUUGAUGACCUGCUGGAACAUGUCUCCAGUAGCCAUGAAACAACUGCUUACCACUGUCAUAUGUGCAACCAGACUUUUAAUACACUUGAAGAUAUAGCUGCACAUCAUAAAACCCACGUGGAACCUGAAAAAGCUGUGCACAACACUGCUAUAGCAAGGCAUAAGUGUGCACAGUGUGAUGCAGUCUUUAAAAAUCCAGAAAAGCUGUCUUUGCACCUGCUGACCGAAAACCACAAGAAAGUUUGUAUUCACUGUAACAGGACAUUUGCUAGUGAUAAAAGAUUGAGGUUACACUUGCAGAUUCACAGGAAAAACAAACCAUUCCAGUGUAACAUAUGUGACAGUAGCUUCCAUAUGAAAAAAUAUUUGUCAUCACACAUGUUAAAGCAUGGAGAUAAACAAUUUGCAUGCUCCAUAUGCAAUCAUAAGUUUAAGAGAAAGGACCUGCUUCAGCGACACAUGAAAUCACAUCAAGCUAAGAAACUGUUCAAAUGCCCUUUCCGAGAUACUUUAGACUGUAUGAAGGAGUUCAGCCGGAGUGACAAGCUCAAGGCUCAUGUGAAAUUUCAUACAAAGCGCAUGGUGGCGAGCCCCAGCCCUCCACAACCAGUGUAUGAAAAUGCAGGCACUGUGGAAAUAUGCAUAGUGCCUUUGGAUGGCAGUAUCAUCACAAAAUAAGAAUCAGGAUUAAUAAUAAAGUACCUAAAUUAUGAAUAUGUUUUUCAUAUGGAUUGCACAAUGAUUUCAGUAAUGUAAGACAUAACACCAAGUAUGGCUUCUUUAUAGACACGCCAAUUUCGAGUUACUGAUCAAGUAUACCUGGACAUACAAGAUGAGGAUAAGCCCUUAGGAAGGGUAGUGAUUGGAUUAUUUGGUGACUUAGCUCCUAAAGCCGUUAAGAACUUUAAAGUUCUCGCUA
RNA transcript from Cydia amplana, 1502 nucleotides. RefSeq lists it as uncharacterized. The record is from RefSeq and is a predicted model, not a curated record. The transcript has 2 exons. Lineage: Eukaryota; Metazoa; Arthropoda; Insecta; Lepidoptera; Tortricidae.